CGUGGCUAACCUGCCCUUGGGACGGGACCACCCCCCGGGAAACUGGGGCUAAUCCCCGAUAGGUGAAAAACUCUGGAAUGAGUUUUCGCCCAAAAGCCAUUUAGAUCAUGCUUCUGGGUGGCGCCCAAGGAUGGGGCCGCGACCGAUCAGGUUGUUGGUGAGGUAAUGGCUCACCAAGCCUAUAACCGGUGCGGGCCGUGAGAGCGGGAGCCCGGAGAUGGGCACUGAGACAAGGGCCCAGGUCCUACGGGGCGCAGCAGUCGCGGAAACUUUGCAAUACACGAAAGUGUGACAGGGUCAUCCCGAGUGCCGACCGCUGAGGUUGGCUUUUACCCAGUCUAGAAAGCUGGGGGAAUAAGGAGAGGGCAAGUCUGGUGUCAGCCGCCGCGGUAAUACCAGCUCUCCGAGUGGUGUGGACGUUUAUUGGGCCUAAAGCAUCCGUAGCUGGCUGAACAAGUCCCCUGUUAAACCCACCGAUUUAAUCGUUGGCUUGCGGGGGAUACUGCUCGGCUAGGGGACGAGAGAGGCAGACGGUAUUCCCGGGGUAGGGGUGAAAUCCUAUAAUCCCGAGAAGACCACCAGUGGCGAAGGCUGUCUGCUAGAACGCGCCCGACGGUGAGGGAUGAAAGCUGGGGGAGCGAACCGGAUUAGAUACCCGGGUAGUCCCAGCUGU
This 673-nucleotide ribosomal RNA is filed under the name uncultured archaeon. RNAcentral's name for it is "bacterial SSU rRNA". It matches the Rfam family "Archaeal small subunit ribosomal RNA", at positions 99 to 754 of the family's 1478-position model. The record is from RNAcentral.